This 229-nucleotide ribosomal RNA is filed under the name uncultured bacterium. RNAcentral describes it as "partial 16S ribosomal RNA". It matches the Rfam family "Bacterial small subunit ribosomal RNA", at positions 568 to 796 of the family's 1533-position model. The record is from RNAcentral.
UGCGUAGGCGGUUUGAUAAGUCAGAGGUGAAAGCCCACCGCUUAACGGUGGAAUUGCCUUUGAUACUGUCAGACUUGAAUAAGGUUGAGGUCGGCGGAAUGUGUCAUGUAGCGGUGAAAUGCAUAGAUAUGACAUAGAACACCAAUUGCGAAGGCAGCUGGCUAGACCUUUAUUGACGCUGAGGCACGAAAGCGUGGGGAGCGAACAGGAUUAGAUACCCUGGUAGUCC